GUUUCUCUAAACGUAGUUGUUUGGGAACCUAUAAGUAAACCGGCCAUAACUUUAAAUUGUAACAUCGUAGAAGAAGGUUAAGGCUAUAAUUUCUGUUAUAACCGUGAUUGCCAGGUAAAAUCAGCCCAAUCAAGGACCUUAGGGUUGUAUGGAUUUAUUCAAAACAAAAAUUGUGCAAAAGAAAUCUCAGAGAUGCUUUUGUUUUAUUAUGUCAUAGCUUCCAGGGGCGUCAAACAGACGAAACUCAAAUUACCAUCAGUUGCCAUCAUAGUUACAUCUGCUUCGUCUAGUGCUGUUCUGGAAUUUCUUUGUCGUAAGAACUUUCGAGUUCUCCGCCAUGCACGUUUUAAACAAGUCAGCCGAAAAUUGUAUCAAAUUUUGUAUAUCGCAAAUGAGUUAAUAGGUUUCAGUGAUUUCAUAAGGUACAUAUGAAUUUCUUUCUGCAGGUUGUAUAGGAUAUGUGUUGUGUGUCCCAUGUGGUGUUGUUUGCAGCCCUUUCUUGUGGUAUGUGUUUAAUAUAGGCAUAUUAGAUGUAGAGCCAUUUGCUGCAGAUGAAAUUUAUGCAGGGAAAAGAACUUCAUGAUAAUGGUGCAUUGGAACUGACAUGAGCUACUGGAUUUCUACCCCUAAAUGGCUUCCAUUAAAAAUUUCAUGCAAGGGUUGAAUGAAGUUCUACCUGGAAAAGCUUCCUUCGAGAAUAAUAGUUGGAUAAUGAAAGUGAAUUAUCCUAAAUCAAGUUGUAAAAUAUUGUGCUUGAAUGAUUGAACCAAAUUUUCUUCUUUAGUAUAAAAAAAAAAGCUACUGCGAGAGAAUACAUAGUGAUUGCCGUACAGCCAACCCGUUUACAACAUCGAUUGCGUGACGCUUCAAAUUCAGCUUAUUGUAAUGUGACCAGAAAAUUGAAGAUGAGGAAUGAACUGGGCAUCGAAAUGUGGGGGCAAAAGGCAUAAAGCUGUUAAUUUGGAGGAAAAAAAUGGUUAGCAAAGGAAAGGUUACCUUAAACCAAUAGCAGGAAUGUAUAUCAGUUAGUAAUUACAAUGUGUACGUUGAAUUCAACUCUGAACAUCUCUUAUAGUUAGCACUGUGUAAAAUGACAAAGUGAGGUGACUGGAAAGGCCUUCCACAAGAAACCAUUCACUCGUUCCACAAAGAUAUACUGUGAAAAGGAAAACCUGGCAGACAAGAAAAACAAAGAAGUUAUUCUGCACAAGAGGAUUUCCUCUGUCAGUCUACACUCAAAUCGACAUAUUCUAAUCGCACAGCCUGUGCCACUGCAUACAAGUAGUAUUCUCUCAAAGCUGGGACAUGGUGGCUAUACCAGCUUUGGGCCAACUAUCUGGAAGAAAAAAUUCACUAGCAAUUGCUAGAACUUCAGUUUCUAUCUUGCGAGUGACAUCGUAACAUUUCACCGAUUAAUUGGAAGAAUCUAUAGGAUUCUAAUGUUAUUUGGUACACAAAUUAUCUUAAGCAAACGAUGAGACGGCUAUUGACAUAUUUACGAAGUCUGGCUUUACAAAGUCUAACUACGGCCGCCAGAUGUCCGAAAUCAUUGUUAUGAAAAGUUGUAUCAGAAUUGUGCUUGUGCUGUAGGUUUUUAUUUAAUAAUAGUGUAAACUUAGGAGUGUAAUCGUGUGAAGCUAAUUAAAUCUGAUGGAUAUCAAAUAAAGGUGAGGGUCUUGAAAUA
Daphnia carinata is the source of this 1684-nucleotide long non-coding RNA. RefSeq lists it as uncharacterized. The record is from RefSeq and is a predicted model, not a curated record. The transcript has 6 exons. NCBI's taxonomy places the organism in Eukaryota, Metazoa, Arthropoda, Branchiopoda, Diplostraca, Daphniidae.